CCAAGACCCCAAGACCAUGACCUGAGCCGAAGGCAGAAGCUUAACCCACUGAGCCACUCAGGCGCCCCUAGAGAAACUUUUAUGUUAUCCUGAUUCCUGUCAAGAGAUCAAGGUGAAAUUAAUGGUUAACGGGGGACAUUGCUGGUAUCCAGAUGAGCGAUGUUUAUCUUCACCACAUGAGACCAACUGACAUUCACAUACCUAGUUAAGUGAUAAUGAAGGACUACACUUGUUCUACUAUGUGAUUUAGUUCAGCUUUUCAGGAGACACUUGUGGGUCUGCACAUAACGACGAUGGAAUUGUACAACUGCUGAUUGUACAACUGCACAACAUUAACCAGGGUCCCU
Mustela erminea (ermine) is the source of this 347-nucleotide long non-coding RNA. RefSeq lists it as uncharacterized. NCBI's taxonomy places the organism in Eukaryota, Metazoa, Chordata, Mammalia, Carnivora, Mustelidae. The record is from RefSeq and is a predicted model, not a curated record. The transcript has 3 exons.